This 468-nucleotide ribosomal RNA is filed under the name uncultured bacterium. RNAcentral's name for it is "partial 16S ribosomal RNA". It matches the Rfam family "Bacterial small subunit ribosomal RNA", at positions 28 to 507 of the family's 1533-position model. The record is from RNAcentral.
GACGAACGCUGGCGGCGUGCUUAACACAUGCAAGUCGAACGGAAAGGCCCUGCUUUCGUGGGGUGCUCGAUUGGCGAACGGGUGAGUAACACGUGAGUAACCUGCCCUUGACUUUGGGAUAACUUCAGGAAACUGGGGCUAAUACCGGAUAGGAGCUCCUGCUGCAUGGUGGGGGUUGGAAAGUUUCGGCGGUUGGGGAUGGACUCGCGGCUUAUCAGCUUGUUGGUGGGGUAGUGGCUUACCAAGGCUUUGACGGGUAGCCGGCCUGAGAGGGUGACCGGCCACAUUGGGACUGAGAUACGGCCCAGACUCCUACGGGAGGCAGCAGUGGGGAAUAUUGCACAAUGGGCGGAAGCCUGAUGCAGCAACGCCGCGUGCGGGAUGACGGCCUUCGGGUUGUAAACCGCUUUCGCCUGUGACGAAGCGUGAGUGACGGUAAUGGGUAAAGAAGCACCGGCUAACUACGUG